This 1370-nucleotide ribosomal RNA is filed under the name uncultured bacterium. RNAcentral's name for it is "bacterial SSU rRNA". It matches the Rfam family "Bacterial small subunit ribosomal RNA", at positions 28 to 1381 of the family's 1533-position model. The record is from RNAcentral.
GACGAACGCUGGCGGCGUGCCUAAUACAUGCAAGUAGAACGCUGAAGAGAGGAGCUUGCUCUUCUUGGAUGAGUUGCGAACGGGUGAGUAACGCGUAGGUAACCUGCCUUGUAGCGGGGGAUAACUAUUGGAAACGAUAGCUAAUACCGCAUAACAAUGGAUGACACAUGUCAUUUAUUUGAAAGGGGCAAUUGCUCCACUACAAGAUGGACCUGCGUUGUAUUAGCUAGUAGGUGAGGUAAUGGCUCACCUAGGCGACGAUACAUAGCCGACCUGAGAGGGUGAUCGGCCACACUGGGACUGAGACACGGCCCAGACUCCUACGGGAGGCAGCAGUAGGGAAUCUUCGGCAAUGGGGGCAACCCUGACCGAGCAACGCCGCGUGAGUGAAGAAGGUUUUCGGAUCGUAAAGCUCUGUUGUAAGUCAAGAACGGGUGUGAGAGUGGAAAGUUCACACUGUGACGGUAGCUUACCAGAAAGGGACGGCUAACUACGUGCCAGCAGCCGCGGUAAUACGUAGGUCCCGAGCGUUGUCCGGAUUUAUUGGGCGUAAAGCGAGCGCAGGCGGUUUGAUAAGUCUGAAGUUAAAGGGCUGUGGCUCAACCAUAGUUCGCUUUGGAAACUGUCAAACUUGAGUGCAGAAGGGGAGAGUGGAAUUCCAUGUGUAGCGGUGAAAUGCGUAGAUAUAUGGAGGAACACCGGUGGCGAAAGCGGCUCUCUGGUCUGUAACUGACGCUGAGGCUCGAAAGCGUGGGGAGCGAACAGGAUUAGAUACCCUGGUAGUCCACGCCGUAAACGAUGAGUGCUAGGUGUUGGAUCCUUUCCGGGAUUCAGUGCCGCAGCUAACGCAUUAAGCACUCCGCCUGGGGAGUACGACCGCAAGGUUGAAACUCAAAGGAAUUGACGGGGGCCCGCACAAGCGGUGGAGCAUGUGGUUUAAUUCGAAGCAACGCGAAGAACCUUACCAGGUCUUGACAUCCCGAUGCUAUUUCUAGAGAUAGAAAGUUACUUCGGUACAUCGGUGACAGGUGGUGCAUGGUUGUCGUCAGCUCGUGUCGUGAGAUGUUGGGUUAAGUCCCGCAACGAGCGCAACCCCUAUUGUUAGUUGCCAUCAUUCAGUUGGGCACUCUAGCGAGACUGCCGGUAAUAAACCGGAGGAAGGUGGGGAUGACGUCAAAUCAUCAUGCCCCUUACGACCUGGGCUACACACGUGCUACAAUGGUUGGUACAACGAGUUGCGAGUCGGUGACGGCGAGCUAAUCUCUUAAAGCCAAUCUCAGUUCGGAUUGUAGGCUGCAACUCGCCUACAUGAAGUCGGAAUCGCUAGUAAUCGCGGAUCAGCACGCCGCGGUGAAUACGUUCCCGGGCCU